UCAAGCAAAUAAGGGCGCACGGUGGAUGCCCUGGCACCAGAAGCCGAAGAAGGACGCGAUAAGCUGCGAUAAGCUGCGAGUAGCCGCAAAUAGGCUGUGAUUCGCAGAUUUCCGAAUGGGGAAACCUAAUGUGCAAACGCACAUUACUUUAAGCUGAAUAAAUAGGUUUAAAGGGGGAUACCUGGGGAACUGAAACAUCUAAGUACCCAGAGGAAGAGAAAGAAUAAUCGAUUUCCUAAGUAGCGGCGAGCGAACGGGAAAGAGCCCAAACCAAGCCCUUCGGGGAUUGGGGUUGAGGACAGACAGAAGAGUAAAGUAAAAUUUAAUUGAAGAGGUCUGGAAAGGCCCGCCAUAGAAUGUAACGGCCAUGUAAAUAAAAAGAAGAACUUUACCAGUCUGAUCCAGAGUACCACGAGACACGUGAAACCUUGUGGGAAGCAGGGAGGACCACCUCCCAAGGCUAAAUACUAACUGGUGACCGAUAGCGAAUAGUACCGUGAGGGAAAGGCGAAAAGAACCCCAGAAGGGGAGUGAAAUAGAACCUGAAACCGUGUGCUUACAAGCAGUCGGAGCUCGUUAAGGAGUGACGGCGUGCUUUUUGUAGAACGAGCCAGCGAGUUACGGUAUGCAGCGAGGUUAAGCACUUAAGGUGCGAAGCCGGAGGGAAACCGAGUCUGAAUAGGGCGGUAAGUUGUAUGCUGUAGACCCGAAACCGGGUGACCUAUCCAUGGACAGGAUGAAGUUGAGGUAAAACUCAAUGGAGGUCCGAACUAAAUUGGUGUUGAAAAACCAUGAGAUGAUCUGUGGAUAGCGGAGAAAUUCCAAUCGAACUCGGAGAUAGCUGGUUCUCCCCGAAAUAGCUUUAGGGCUAGCCUUGGAUGAUGAGCUUUGGAGGUAGAGCACUGAAUGGACUAGGGGCUGUAUAAGCUACCAAACCCUAUCAAACUCCGAAUGCCAAAGUUUUAAUCCAGGAGUCAGACUACGAGUGAUAAGAUCCGUGGUCAAAAGGGAAACAGCCCAGACCAUCAGCUAAGGUCCCAAAAUGCAGAUUAAGUGGUAAAGGAGGUGAGAUCUCAAAGACAACCAGGAUGUUGGCUUAGAAGCAGCCAUACAUUCAAAGAGUGCGUAAUAGCUCACUGGUCGAGAGGUCUUGCACCGAAGAUGUCCGGGGCUCAAAUCUGCUACCGAAGCUAUGGAUGUACGAAAGUACGUGGUAGGGGAGCAUCGUAUACGGAGCGAAGCCAUAUCGUAAGGAGUGGUGGACUGUAUACGAGAGAGAAUGCUGGCAUAAGUAACGAAAGAUAGGUGAGAAUCCUAUCCAUCGAAAACCUAAGGUUUCCUGAGGAAGGUUCGUCCACUCAGGGUUAGUCGGGACCUAAGUCGAGGCCGAAAGGCGUAGAUGAUGGACAAUCGGUUGAAAUUCCGAUACCACCUUUAAGCGUUUAAGAAAAGGGGUGACGCAGGAGGAUAAGCUGAGCGCACGGAUGGAAAAGUGCGUCUAAGAACUAAGUCAGACCUUCAAGGAAAAUCCGGGAGGUGACGAUAAGGUUUAAUGGGGAGCCGUAAGGCGAAGCAGCUAAGUUCACACUGUCAAGAAAAGCCUCUAUCGAGCAAGAAGGUGCCCGUACCGCAAACCGACACAGGUAGGUGAGGAGAGAAUCCUAAGAUGAGCGAGAGAACCCUUGUUAAGGAACUCGGCAAAUUAACCCCGUAACUUCGGGAGAAGGGGUACUCAAAAGAGUCGCAGUUAAAAGGCCCAAGCAACUGUUUAGCAAAAACACAGGUCUCUGCUAAGUCGCAAGACGAUGUAUAGGGGCUGACGCCUGCCCGGUGCUGGAAGGUUAAGGGGAGAGGUUAGCGAAAGCGAAGCUUUAAACUUAAGCCCCAGUAAACGGCGGCCGUAACUAUAACGGUCCUAAGGUAGCGAAAUUCCUUGUCGGGUAAGUUCCGACCCGCACGAAUGGCGUAAUGACUUGGGCACUGUCUCAACAAGGGACUCGGUGAAAUUG
Molecule: ribosomal RNA, 2009 nt
Filed under: fermentation metagenome
Description: bacterial LSU rRNA
Rfam family: Bacterial large subunit ribosomal RNA
Source: RNAcentral